Brassica napus (rape) is the source of this 715-nucleotide long non-coding RNA. RefSeq lists it as uncharacterized. NCBI's taxonomy places the organism in Eukaryota, Viridiplantae, Streptophyta, Magnoliopsida, Brassicales, Brassicaceae. The transcript has 2 exons. The record is from RefSeq and is a predicted model, not a curated record.
CUCGUGUCGAUUCUCGUCGUCUCUCUCGAAUCUGGUCUGAAAUCUCGUCUCGGUCUCCUUAUCGGUAAGAAAUCAUCCUUUUGAUUUGGUCUGAAAUCUCACACUCUCUGUUCGUGAUCCGCUGUUAUGAUGAACCUUGAAGAGAAAGCAAGGAUGGAGGAAGGAUAUAACUCAGACAAGAUGGAAGAAGAAGCAAGAUAAGUUCGAACCUUGUCUUUUGAAAAAGAACUUUUAUUAAAAGAUGAUAACAGUGGUGAUAUAUUUGAUAAUAUUGAGGAAGGUGAUAUCUAUUAGAUUGGUAGUAGAGUUUUGUUUGACUGUUGAAAAUAUUGAAUCCUUUGCAUAGAAACAUAGUCGGUUGGUUUGUUAUAACAAGUGUUGAUGAUGAAUUUUAGGAAGAACUGUCUCUAUUAGUCUGGAAGCAGAGUCGAUUGUGUUUCACAUUAUCACACCAAGCUGUUCUUGUUUUUAUUUUCAUAUCAUUUUGUGUUCGGUUAUCUGUGUAAAUAAUUGAUUGAUCAAGGUUUAUUACUUUGUUUAUAUAAUUCUAUUUUUGUUGGUUGUGUGAGGAGUGGUGAUCAUCAAGAAGCGGGAGCCGACAGUUGGAGAGUUUCCUUUCAUUCAUUACGGAUUCAACAUGGCCAGAAGAUCCAUAUUUCACUUCAAUCAGCAAGAGUCCAAGCCAAGACGUAAAGAGAGAGACAUGUGACACAAA